AGUCCCCUCAGGUGAGAAGGGUGGGGUAUAAAUAAUUGAAAUAAAUAAAUAAAUAAAUAGAAGAAGCACAGGAUUGCAUGCUUGCUGUUUGUCCUGAAUGUUUUAAAUAUCUUGGCAGUUUCUUAAGUGUGUAGAAAUGCUUAUUUAAUCGCAUGUGAUGAAGUCCUAAGAAUUUCCUACAAAGAAAUUAAUCUUCAAGUGUAUUGGUCUCCUUUAGGUUUUUUCAUUCAUUCCAUGCCAAUAGACUUGACAAGAGAGAACUUCUAAGAACUCCACAUUACUUGGUCCUAAUUUUUACAAAAAAAAAAAUAAUUGGAAGAAUGCGGCUCCAGAGGUGAAAAGUAAAGUUUUCUGCCUACUCAUUUUAUCAAAAAGCAAAAUUCAUGCUCCAAAACCAGGACAUUGAUUCUAGGAAACUGGAAAUCACUUCUCAUUCCACUCUCCACAGGUUACCCACAGGAUUGCCGUUUCCUGUACAAUCCACCCAGAACACUGUGGUUCUCUGCGGGGUGGCUACUGCAGCCAUCAAGAACUCGACUGGCAACCGUCACCCUGAGGAUCUUUUCAUUGGCUGCCCCAAGACCGUGGAAUGACCUGCCAAAAGAAUAUAAAUCUCACCUGAAGAAUAUCUCUUCUGGGAGGCCUACCCAGCCAGUUUUAAUCAUGAAUUUUAAACUCACAUCUGUAAAUUUUAAUACAGUAUAUGUACCUAGUAGAAAUACAUUUCAAUAUGUGUAUUUUAUAUAAUUAUUAUGUGUUUAUUUUAUAUAAUUAUUAUGUGUUUAUAGUUAUGUUGUAACCCCCCUCAAGGAGAGGGGGUAAGAAUUAUUAUUAUUAUUAUUAUUAUUAUUAUUAUUAUUAUUAUUAUUAUUAUUAUUAUUAUUAUUAUUAUUAUCCAAU
RNAcentral lists this long non-coding RNA (900 nucleotides) under Anolis carolinensis (green anole). RNAcentral's name for it is "lncRNA (ENSACAG00000036966.1)". Lineage: Eukaryota; Metazoa; Chordata; Lepidosauria; Squamata; Anolidae. The record is from RNAcentral.